Molecule: ribosomal RNA, 498 nt
Filed under: uncultured bacterium
Lineage: Bacteria
Description: partial 16S ribosomal RNA
Rfam family: Bacterial small subunit ribosomal RNA
Source: RNAcentral
GAUGAACGCUGGCGGCAUGCCUUACACAUGCAAGUCGAACGGUAACAGGUCUUCGGAUGCUGACGAGUGGCGAACGGGUGAGUAAUACAUCGGAACGUGCCCGAUCGUGGGGGAUAACGAAGCGAAAGCUUUGCUAAUACCGCAUACGAUCUACGGAUGAAAGCAGGGGACCGCAAGGCCUUGCGCGAACGGAGAGGCCGAUGGCAGAUUAGGUAGUUGGUGGGAUAAAAGCUUACCAAGCCGACGAUCUGUAGCUGGUCUGAGAGGACGACCAGCCACACUGGGACUGAGACACGGCCCAGACUCCUACGGGAGGCAGCAGUGGGGAAUUUUGGACAAUGGGCGAAAGCCUGAUCCAGCCAUGCCGCGUGCAGGAUGAAGGCCUUCGGGUUGUAAACUGCUUUUGUACGGAACGAAAAGACUCUGGUUAAUACCUGGGGUCCAUGACGGUACCGUAAGAAUAAGCACCGGCUAACUACGUGCCAGCAGCCGCGGUAA